CACCGCCACGGUAAUACGUAGGUGGCAAGCGUUGUCCGGAAUUAUUGGGCGUAAAGGGCUCGCAGGCGGUUUCUUAAGUCUGAUGUGAAAGCCCCCGGCUCAACCGGGGAGGGUCAUUGGAAACUGGGGAACUUGAGUGCAGAAGAGGAGAGUGGAAUUCCACGUGUAGCGGUGAAAUGCGUAGAGAUGUGGAGGAACACCAGUGGCGAAGGCGACUCUCUGGUCUGUAACUGACGCUGAGGAGCGAAAGCGUGGGGAGCGAACAGGAUUAGAUACCCCCGUAGUCCCUGUCUCUUAUACA
This 301-nucleotide ribosomal RNA is filed under the name uncultured bacterium. RNAcentral's name for it is "partial 16S ribosomal RNA". It matches the Rfam family "Bacterial small subunit ribosomal RNA", at positions 509 to 808 of the family's 1533-position model. The record is from RNAcentral.